GAUCCAAGAACCGCAUGGUUCUUGGCUGAAAGAUGGCGUAAGCUAUCGCUUUUGGAUGGACCCGCGGCGUAUUAGCUAGUUGGUGAGGUAACGGCUCACCAAGGCGAUGAUACGUAGCCGAACUGAGAGGUUGAUCGGCCACAUUGGGACUGAGACACGGCCCAAACUCCUACGGGAGGCAGCAGUAGGGAAUCUUCCACAAUGGACGCAAGUCUGAUGGAGCAACGCCGCGUGAGUGAAGAAGGCUUUCGGGUCGUAAAACUCUGUUGUUGGAGAAGAAUGGUCGGCAGAGUAACUGUUGCCGGCGUGACGGUAUCCAACCAGAAAGCCACGGCUAACUACGUGCCAGCAGCCGCGGUAAUACGUAGGUGGCAAGCGUUAUCCGGAUUUAUUGGGCGUAAAGCGAGCGCAGGCGGUUUUUUAAGUCUGAUGUGAAAGCCCUCGGCUUAACCGAGGAAGCGCAUCGGAAACUGGGAAACUUGAGUGCAGAAGAGGACAGUGGAACUCCAUGUGUAGCGGUGAAAUGCGUAGAUAUAUGGAAGAACACCAGUGGCGAAGGCGGCUGUCUGGUCUGUAACUGACGCUGAGGCUCGAAAGCAUGGGUAGCGAACAGGAUUAGAUACCCUGGUAGUCCAUGCCGUAAACGAUGAGUGCUAAGUGUUGGA
Molecule: ribosomal RNA, 665 nt
Filed under: uncultured bacterium
Lineage: Bacteria
Description: bacterial SSU rRNA
Rfam family: Bacterial small subunit ribosomal RNA
Source: RNAcentral